GUAGGGAAUAUUGGGCAAUGGAGGCAACUCUGACCCAGCCAUGCCGCGUGCAGGAUGACGGCCCUCUGGGUUGUAAACUGCUUUUAUACGGGAAGAAAAAAUACUACGUGUAGUAUACUGACGGUACCGUAAGAAUAAGGAUCGGCUAACUCCGUGCCAGCAGCCGCGGUCAUACGUAGUAUCCAAGCGUUGUCCGGAUUUAUUGGGUUUAAACGGUGCGUAGGCGGAUCGUUAAGUCAGUGGUGAAAGCCUGCAGCUUAACUGUAGAAUUGCCAUUGAAACUGAAGAUCUUGAAUGUGGUUAAAGUAGGCGGAAUGUAUCAUGUAGAGGUGAAAUGCUUAGAUAUGAUACAGAACACCGAUAGCGAAGGCAGCUUGCUGAACCAUUAUUGACGCUGAGGCACGAAAGCGUGGGGAGCGAACAGGAUUAGAUACCCCUGUAGUCC
Molecule: ribosomal RNA, 445 nt
Filed under: uncultured bacterium
Lineage: Bacteria
Description: partial 16S ribosomal RNA
Rfam family: Bacterial small subunit ribosomal RNA
Source: RNAcentral